This 332-nucleotide unclassified non-coding RNA is filed under the name soil metagenome. Its description in RNAcentral is "partial contains 5.8S ribosomal RNA, internal transcribed spacer 2, and large subunit ribosomal RNA". The stretch from base 1 to 121 matches the Rfam family "5.8S ribosomal RNA", at positions 35 to 154 of the family's 154-position model. The record is from RNAcentral.
GAUGAAGAACCGCAGCGAAAUGCGAUAAGUAAUGUGAAUUGCAGAAUUCAGUGAAUCAUCGAAUCUUUGAACGCACAUUGCGCCCCCUGGUAUUCCGGGGGGCAUGCCUGUUCGAGCGUCAUUUCACCACUCAAGCCUCGCUUGGUAUUGGGCAACGCGGUCCGCCGCGUGCCUCAAAUCGACCGGCUGGGUCUUCUGUCCCCUAAGCGUUGUGGAAACUAUUCGCUAAAGGGUGUUCGGGAGGCUACGCCGUAAAACAACCCCAUUUCUAAGGUUGACCUCGGAUCAGGUAGGGAUACCCGCUGAACUUAAGCAUAUCAAUAAGCGGAGGA